GUGGGAGGGGGCUUGCCCCCGAUUGCGGUGGGUCAGUAUCAGAUGUAUUGACUGACAUUACCCCAUCGGGGGCAAGCCCCCUCCCAC
This 87-nucleotide unclassified non-coding RNA is filed under the name Pseudomonas azotoformans. The record is from RNAcentral. Lineage: Bacteria; Pseudomonadati; Pseudomonadota; Gammaproteobacteria; Pseudomonadales; Pseudomonadaceae.